UCAACGCUGGCGGCGUGCCUAACACAUGCAAGUCGAGCGAGAAAGGGAACUUCGGUUCCUGAGUACAGCGGCGCACGGGUGAGUAUCACGUGGGCAACCUGCCUCGGAGUGGGGAAUAACACCGGGAAACCGGUGCUAAUACCGCAUACGAUCACGGAGUCUUUGGAUUCCGUGAUGAAAGGAACUUUCGCUCUGAGAGGGGCCCGCGCCCGAUUAGCUAGUUGGUGAGGUAACGGCUCACCAAGGCCACGAUCGGUAGCCGGUCUGAGAGGACGGUCGGCCACACUGGAACUGAGACACGGUCCAGACUCCUACGGGAGGCAGCAGUGGGGAAUUUUUGACAAUGGGGGAAACCCUGAUCAAGCAACGCCGCGUGGAUGAUGAAGUAUCUCGGUACGUAAAAUCCUUUCGACAGGGAAGAAGCCUUCGGGUUGACGGUACCUGUAGAAGAAGCCCCGGCUAACUCCGUGCCAGCAGCCGCGGUAAU
This 487-nucleotide ribosomal RNA is filed under the name uncultured bacterium. Its description in RNAcentral is "bacterial SSU rRNA". It matches the Rfam family "Bacterial small subunit ribosomal RNA", at positions 32 to 524 of the family's 1533-position model. The record is from RNAcentral.